Molecule: long non-coding RNA, 236 nt
Filed under: Phoenix dactylifera (date palm)
Lineage: Eukaryota; Viridiplantae; Streptophyta; Magnoliopsida; Arecales; Arecaceae
Description: long non-coding RNA (PDAC_LNC017142)
Source: RNAcentral
GAUAUUAGAGUUUUUGUGAAAAUGAUAAGAAGUUUCGAAAAAAAAAUUCUUAUUUGUGACUUAUUUUGUAUUUUGGUUAAAUAUUUGGUAUGCUUUAACCCCACUUUGGGGUAUUAUAUUACUUACUAAGGUAGUGUAGCUUAUUAUCCUAUUUUGUCUUUUUUUUAGAUCUAGAGGUUUGAUUGCACGGGAUUGGGAAGUGCGUUAGAUUUUGCUCAAACUAGAAUUUUGGUUAG